Molecule: ribosomal RNA, 497 nt
Filed under: uncultured bacterium
Lineage: Bacteria
Description: partial 16S ribosomal RNA
Rfam family: Bacterial small subunit ribosomal RNA
Source: RNAcentral
GAUGAACGCUGGCGGCGUGCCUAAUACAUGCAAGUCGAGCGGACGGACGCGAAGCUUUCUUCGCUGAUGUUAGCGGCGGACGGGUCAGUAACACUUGGAUAACCGACCUGUGAGACUUAGAUAACUUCGUGAAACCGAAGCUAAUACCGGAUGAUAUUUUGGACCGCGUGGUUCAAAAGUGAAUGACGGUCUUGCUGUCACUUGUACAUGCAUCCUGGAUGCAUUAGCUAGUUGUUACGGUAACGGCGUACCAAGGCAACGAUGCAGAGCCGACCUGAGAGGGUGCUCGGAGAGACUGGAACUGAGACGCGGUCCAGACUCCUACGGGAGGCAGCAGUAGGGAAUCUUCCGCGAUGGGCGAAAGCCUGACGGAGCAACGCCGCGUGAGUGAUGAAGGUCUUCGGAUCGUAAAACGCUGUUAUUAGGGAAGAACAUAUGUGUAAGUAACUGUGCACAUCGUGACGGUACCUAAUCAGAAAGCCACGGCUAACUACGUG